GAUGAACGCUGGCGGCGUGCCUAAUACAAACAAGUCGAGAGAAGAGGGUACGGGUGAGACACACGUGGAAAACCUACUAUAAGACUUGGAUAACUUCGGGAAACCGGAGCUAAAACCGAAAAUUUUAGAUGGAUCCGCGCUGCAUUAGCUAGUUGGUAAUGGAACGGCUUACCAAGGCAACGAUGCAUAGCCGACCUGAGAGGUUGAUCGGCCACACUGGAACUGAGACACGGUCCAGACUCCUACGGGAGGCAGCAGUAGGGAAUCUUCCGCAAUGGGCGAAAGCCUGACGGAGCAACGCCGCGUGAGUGAUGAAGGUCUUCGGAUCGUAAAACUCUGUUAUUAGGGAAGCGGUACCUAAUCAGAAAGCCACGGCUAACUACGUGCCAGCAGCCGCGGUAAUAC
Molecule: ribosomal RNA, 405 nt
Filed under: uncultured bacterium
Lineage: Bacteria
Description: partial 16S ribosomal RNA
Rfam family: Bacterial small subunit ribosomal RNA
Source: RNAcentral